This 114-nucleotide ribosomal RNA is filed under the name uncultured bacterium. RNAcentral's name for it is "partial 16S ribosomal RNA". It matches the Rfam family "Bacterial small subunit ribosomal RNA", at positions 1360 to 1483 of the family's 1533-position model. The record is from RNAcentral.
CGGUGAAUACGUUCCCGGGCCUUGUACACACCGCCCGUCAAGCCAUGGAAGCUGGGGGUGCCUGAAGUGCGUAACCGCAAGGAGCGUCCUAGGGUAAAACCGGUAACUGGGCUA